This 301-nucleotide ribosomal RNA is filed under the name uncultured bacterium. Its description in RNAcentral is "partial 16S ribosomal RNA". It matches the Rfam family "Bacterial small subunit ribosomal RNA", at positions 509 to 807 of the family's 1533-position model. The record is from RNAcentral.
CAGUAGCCGCGGUAAUACGAAGGGGGCUAGCGUUGCUCGGAAUGACUGGGCGUAAAGGGCGCGUAGGCGGUUUAUACAGUCAGAUGUGAAAUUCCUGGGCUCAACCUGGGGACUGCAUUUGAUACGUAUGGACUUGAGUGGAGAAGAGAGUCGUGGAAUUUCCAGUGUAGAGGUGAAAUGCGUAGAGAUCGGGAGGAACAUCAGUGGCGAAGGCGGCCAUCUGGGACAACACUGACGCUGAGGCACGAAAGCGUGGGGAGCAGACAGGAUUAGAUACCCGCGUAGUCCCUGUCUCUUAUAC